RNAcentral lists this ribosomal RNA (483 nucleotides) under uncultured bacterium. RNAcentral describes it as "partial 16S ribosomal RNA". It matches the Rfam family "Bacterial small subunit ribosomal RNA", at positions 30 to 507 of the family's 1533-position model. The record is from RNAcentral.
UUGAACGCUGGCGGCAGGCCUAACACAUGCAAGUCGAGCGGAUGAAGGGAGCUUGCUCCUGGAUUCAGCGGCGGACGGGUGAGUAAUGCCUAGGAAUCUGCCUGGUAGUGGGGGAUAACGUCCGGAAACGGGCGCUAAUACCGCAUACGUCCUGAGGGAGAAAGUGGGGGAUCUUCGGACCUCACGCUAUCAGAUGAGCCUAGGUCGGAUUAGCUAGUUGGUGGGGUAAAGGCCUGCCAAGGCGACGAUCCGUAACUGGUCUGAGAGGAUGAUCAGUCACACUGGAACUGAGACACGGUCCAGACUCCUACGGGAGGCAGCAGUGGGGAAUAUUGGACAAUGGGCGAAAGCCUGAUCCAGCCAUGCCGCGUGUGUGAAGAAGGUCUUCGGAUUGUAAAGCACUUUAAGUUGGGAGGAAGGGCAGUAAGUUAAUACCUUGCUGUUUUGACGUUACCAACAGAAUAAGCACCGGCUAACUUCGUG